AGUCCUUGCUCAAGGGCCCAACAGUCAUAGAAAACAGCAAAAUAUUCUCAAAUUUGCUUAAUCUAUUUCAACCUUGCCGGAAACCAGAAUCUAUCCUAACAUCAUUGGGAAAAAGGACUGUGGAAUCAAGAACUGGACACCUCAGCCAGCUGAUGUUGCAUGCACUGUAAAUUAAGAGACGUUAAUGCUGCAACUAUACAAUGCACUAGUGAGACCACAUCUGGAGCAUUAUGUGCAGUUCAGUUUUUUUGUGGUGGCGGCCUGCGCCACCACCACCUACUC
Molecule: long non-coding RNA, 282 nt
Organism: Polypterus senegalus (gray bichir)
Lineage: Eukaryota; Metazoa; Chordata; Cladistia; Polypteriformes; Polypteridae
Exons: 3
Source: RefSeq, a predicted model, not a curated record